CCGGGCAGGGAGCGGGCCCGGCUCGGAGCUGUGGGGUCGUCCCCAGGAAGGAGAGCUGUGGCCCUGGGCGGCCGUGAGGACGCUUAUUCCCCGUGGGCUCUUCCCUGAGACCAGAGGUCAAAAGCUCAAAGGACGGAGUAGUUUGUUGGGUGGAGGCCCUCGGCACAACGCCCUAACUCCCACGCUCUUUCCGUGGGUUUGUUGUUGUUGUUUGUUGGGGUUGUGUUUUUGUUUUUUGUUUGUUUUAAAAAAGUAUUUAUACACAUGAGGUGGUUUGUGCUGAGACCUGCACCUAGAGGCGUGGUUGAUGUAAAGAGGUCACCUAGCCUGUGUGAAGCCAUGCUGCACGGAAGCGGCUUCACCGGAAGACAAACAGCUGGGGCAAAGGAGAUUCCAGUCAAGAGGAAGGAUUAUCAUCCUGAACACAGAAGACUAAGUGACCUUCUGAAUGUUCAUUUACUAUGUGCAUUUCCUUUGAGUAAUUUUUACUGUCUAAUGGAGAUUUAUGGAAUUCUAGUUCCAUGUAUUAGCAGAUUUAAAAAUAGAGGAAUUGUAAAAGUGA
Molecule: long non-coding RNA, 562 nt
Organism: Agelaius phoeniceus (red-winged blackbird)
Lineage: Eukaryota; Metazoa; Chordata; Aves; Passeriformes; Icteridae
Source: RefSeq, a predicted model, not a curated record